Cyprinus carpio (common carp) is the source of this 1599-nucleotide long non-coding RNA. RefSeq lists it as uncharacterized. The record is from RefSeq and is a predicted model, not a curated record. The transcript has 7 exons. Lineage: Eukaryota; Metazoa; Chordata; Actinopteri; Cypriniformes; Cyprinidae.
UGAAGUUACGAGCGAAAAUGCUACAUGACAGCUACCUUACAUUUUUUUUUUUUUUUUUUUACUAAACUACAUGCCACCAGUGCAGUUUUAUGUGUUAUAAAUUACUGAGGAAUAUCUUUAGAUAUAAAUGACGGAUUCUUAUGGGCUGCGUCGGAUGAUAUCAUUUAUGAUGAAAUGAUGAUAUCAUUUACUCCAUUUAGCAGCGCGUCAUGGCAACAAAAUAACGUUAAGCCAACAACAAAAAUACAAAGAGGCGACUUGAUAAAUUCACUGAAUUAGUUCCUUCGCUCUAACAGUCUACAAACCGAGACAGAUGGCAUGUAAGGCUGUUGCCCACCGGAAAGACUUUCACUGGAGAGUUAGACUUUGAACCCUGACAGCAGCUGACUUCACCUCAGUAAGGCUAUGCAACUCUGUUGUGUAACACUUAACUGACAAUCUGUACUCACAAAAAAAUUUCUAUAUAUAUUUUUUUCUGAACUGUGGAUUACUAUGCUGUUUAGAUGAAGAAAAUUUAUGGACUUUGCUUGCCUUAAAAUGGACACCAGCUUGGAUGUCCCGCAAAGCAGGAAACCUCAUGUGAGAGUCUGCGCACGACUAAGGGAUUCACUUACCCCGUGCCCUUGAACAUCCCAACCGGAGAUUGCGAAUAUGCGUGGUAUCUGAUGAAUGGAGUGUGCUGCUCAUUCAGAUGAAAAAAUGUUAGGACCUGUAGUGGCUAUGACCUUCCAGAAUCAGACAGUAAGUGCCUGUGAGGACCUGCAGUGGCAACUUCACUGUGACAACAUUUAGACCUUGAGAGAAAACGAGAUGGAAACCAUAAUGGCUAUAUUUCAGCUGGUUUACCUGGCUGGGGUACUGCUUUAAUUGGGACUGGCAUUGAUUGGAAUUGUUGGUGCAUUGAUUGCUAUUUGGUUUCCUCAUCGAAACAGGUCAAGUGGUUAAAGAUCUGGACUGUUAACCAUAAUUUAACCAUUAUGCCAUUGUCACUUAUUGUUGCACUUAUCUAUCAUUUUACUGUUUUAAUAGCAUUUAGCAUAUCACAGCAUUAAGAUUCUAGUGCUAGUUUUUAUUUUUUUAAUCCAAAAGUAAUUUUGAUACUGUCUCGUGGUACAUCCAAGGCAGAACUACUGUGAGGAGGGCACUGACACAAAAAUGAAAAGUUACAUUAUCAAUUAUUGUCGUAAGAAUAAUUAAAAAUUAAUAAGUUUUAAUAUAACUCUAUAAUGUGUAUAGUUAAACCAUAAAUAUACUAACUACAUGUACCCCUUUUUUCUUGGAAAAUAUUAGUAAAUGUCCCAUUCUAUCUCAUUAUGGUGAUGAUGUUAAAACCUAGAGAGAUUACUGAGCUGACAUAAUUAGUAUGCAAAUUAAGGUAAAUGAUAUUUUUAAGUUCUACUUAUCAAGCACUCAUUAUAUGGACAUUAAGGGGGACAUGUAUGUUUAGUGUGUACAGUACUCUACCUGCAGAGCUACCCUAAAAGCUAUGUCAAAGGCAAUGUGUGGUCAUUUAUUUUUAUUUUUUUCAAAGAUUUUGGGUCCCACUUUAUAUUAAGUGGCCUUAACUACUAUGUGCUUACAUCAAAAAAAUAAGUACAG